Molecule: non-coding RNA, 483 nt
Organism: Vicia faba (fava bean)
Lineage: Eukaryota; Viridiplantae; Streptophyta; Magnoliopsida; Fabales; Fabaceae
Source: the annotation of a GenBank genome assembly
AUGAAAUUUGUUGACUUGCUCUUAAGUCGUGUCAUCACGACUAGAUCAUUACAUCAAGAAUUUGCAAGAAAACAAUUAUGGAAAGGAUCUAAUCUUAAGGAUUUCUUCUCGUUAUGCUGCUUUACAAUCCAACUCUUUAAAAUCUUCAAGCCUCGCAUGAAAUUUGUUGACUUGCUCUUAAGUCGUGUCAUCACUAAUAAACACCAAGAAAUCUCCAUAAAAUUCUCUCAGUUUUCUACUUCAUCAUCUUCACCUUUCAAUAAAAAACUACAUCAAUCUUCAUCUCUCGGAAAUCUCAAUCCGCAUUCUUCUUCAUCUCUGCACUCUCUCAUCAUCUUUGCGCUUCAACCAUCAUCAUCUUCCGCAAUUUCUCUGUAUCCUCAUCAACAAUCCCCAGCUUCAAUCUUCACGCCAAAAUUGCAAUAUUGUCGCAACACGAUAUUCAUCAUCGUUGAGAAUAAACAAAAGCAGAGCGGAACUUGA